Molecule: ribosomal RNA, 1005 nt
Filed under: uncultured bacterium
Lineage: Bacteria
Description: bacterial SSU rRNA
Rfam family: Bacterial small subunit ribosomal RNA
Source: RNAcentral
CCGCUCAGUGCGCAUGCUAGACUGCAGUCGCACGGUGUAGCAAUACACAGUGGCGAACGGGUGAGUAAUGAAUCGCUAAUGUACCCCGGACUCUGGGAUAGCCAGUCGAAAGAUUGGGUAAUACCAGAUGACAUAUUCCUACCGCAUGGUCGGGAAUCUCAAAGGUCCGCCGGUCUGGGAGCAGGCGAUUUCGUAUCAGCUAGUUGGUGAGGUAACGGCUCACCAAGGCGACGACGCGUAGCCGGACUGAGAGGUUGGCCGGCCACAUCGGGACUGAGACACUGCCCGGACUCCUACGGGGGGCUGCAGUAACGAAUCUUCCCCAAUGCACGAAAGUGUGAGGGAGCGACGCCGCGUGUGGGACGAAGUCCUUCGGGAUGUAAACCACUGUCAGGGGAUACCAAGUUCUGAGGAUCCCCAGAGGAAGAGGCGGCUAACUCUGUGCCAGCAGCCGCGGUAAGACAGAGGCCUCAAGCGUUAGGCGGAAUCACUGGGCUUAAAGCGUGUGUAGGCGGGUCGUUAAGUACCUUGUGAAAUCCCACGGCUCACCCGUGGAACUGCUGGGUAUACUGGCGAUCUUGGGCCAUUCAGGGGCAACUGGAACAAGCGGUGGAGCGGUGAAAUGCGUAGAUAUCGCUUGGAACGCCAAAGGUGAAAACAGGUUGCUGGGAAUGUGCCGACGCUGAGACACGAAAGCCAGGGGAGCAAACGGGAUUAGAUACCCCGGUAGUCCUGGCCCUAAACGAUGUCUACUAGAUUGCGGCGGGUUUGACCCCGUCGCGGUCGAAGCAAAAGUGUUAAGUGGACCGCCUGGGAAGUACGGUCGCAAGGCUAAAACUCAAAGGAAUUGACGGGGGCUCACACAAGCGGUGGAGCAUGUGGUUCAAUUCGAAGCAACGCGCAGAACCUUACCUGGGUUUGACAUGACUGGAUUAUCUCGAUGAAAGUCGAGUAGGCCCCGCAAGGGGUACAACAGUUACAGGUGCUGCAUGGCUGUCGUCAGCU